CAGCCGCCGCGGUAAUACAGAGGGUGCGAGCGUUAAUCGGAUUUACUGGGCGUAAAGCGUGCGUAGGCGGCUUCUUAAGUCGGAUGUGAAAUCCCUGAGCUUAACUUAGGAAUUGCAUUCGAUACUGGGAAGCUAGAGUAUGGGAGAGGAUGGUAGAAUUCCAGGUGUAGCGGUGAAAUGCGUAGAGAUCUGGAGGAAUACCGAUGGCGAAGGCAGCCAUCUGGCCUAAUACUGACGCUGAGGUGCGAAAGCGUGGGGAGCAAACAGGAUUAGAUACCCCUGUAGUCCCUGUCUCUUAUAC
Molecule: ribosomal RNA, 301 nt
Filed under: uncultured bacterium
Lineage: Bacteria
Description: partial 16S ribosomal RNA
Rfam family: Bacterial small subunit ribosomal RNA
Source: RNAcentral